AACAGUAAAGGAGUUCGAGUUCAGCAAGAGCAGCUGCAGGGAGGGCAAGUGGGAGAACAUCCUGUCCUUGACUUCGGAGAAGGUCCCGUUCACCAGGCUCAGCGAGCCGAGCCCGGCGGGCAGGCUGCGCGGCGCCCCGGCCGCCCCCACGCACAGCGCCGACUCUCGCCAGCAGCUGCAGGGCGGCGCGCAGCGCGGCGGCGGCCUCCGCGGGGCGGCGGGCGGCGGCAGCAGCAGCAGCGCGACGGCCCAGAGCGCCAGGAGCCGCAGCGGGCCCGCCAUGCCCGCGCCGCCGUUGCCCGCCGGCCGCCCG
Molecule: long non-coding RNA, 313 nt
Filed under: Gallus gallus (chicken)
Lineage: Eukaryota; Metazoa; Chordata; Aves; Galliformes; Phasianidae
Source: RNAcentral